GCCCGCGUUGUCUAAUGGCUAUGACGUCAGACUUCUACCUUCUCGCACUCGUAGUGGGACUUGGAUCAGAAAACAAAAUCUGGAGGUUGCGGGUUCGAGUCCCGCCGUGGGUU
This is a non-coding RNA of Marasmius fiardii PR-910, 113 nucleotides long. The record is from the annotation of a GenBank genome assembly. Lineage: Eukaryota; Fungi; Basidiomycota; Agaricomycetes; Agaricales; Marasmiaceae.